GUGGGGAAUAUUGCACAAUGGGGGAAACCCUGAUGCAGCGACGCCGCGUGAGUGAAGAAGUAUUUCGGUAUGUAAAGCUCUAUCAGCAGGAAAGAAAAUGACGGUACCUGACUAAGAAGCCCCGGCUAACUACGUGCCAGCAGCCGCGGUAAUACGUAGGGGGCAAGCGUUAUCCGGAUUUACUGGGUGUAAAGGGAGCGUAGACGGCAAUGCAAGUCUGAAGUGAAAGCCCAGGGCUUAACCCUGGGACUGCUUUGGAAACUGUAUAGCUGGAGUGCAGGAGAGGUAAGUGGAAUUCCUAGUGUAGCGGUGAAAUGCGUAGAUAUUAGGAGGAACACCAGUGGCGAAGGCGGCCUGCUGGACUGUAACUGACGCUGAGGCUCGAAAGCAUGGGGAGCAAACAGGA
This 406-nucleotide ribosomal RNA is filed under the name uncultured bacterium. Its description in RNAcentral is "bacterial SSU rRNA". It matches the Rfam family "Bacterial small subunit ribosomal RNA", at positions 354 to 777 of the family's 1533-position model. The record is from RNAcentral.